This 1608-nucleotide long non-coding RNA is filed under the name Salvator merianae (Argentine black and white tegu). RNAcentral describes it as "lncRNA (ENSSMRG00000004234.1)". The record is from RNAcentral. Lineage: Eukaryota; Metazoa; Chordata; Lepidosauria; Squamata; Teiidae.
AUAAAACAGCGGGACUUACGCCAGAGGUCAAGCUGGCUCGCCCGCCGCGUUCGUUCUGCUGACUGUCCUCCCCUCGCUCUUUUGCUACACGCAAGACCCCCUUUUGCUGCUGAGUCUGGGGGUCCUCGCUUUGCCGCAGCAGCAUCUGGAAGCGCAGUAGGCGGGGCGUCCGACUGCCCAAGAAGGAUCCCAUCGGAGCCCUGCUGAACUGCUGGCAUCUGGAGGAUGCUUUGCUGCAGAAGCGUUGCGGCGGCGCAGCGAACCGACCAGGGUGAGCGAGGGGCACGUUUGGUUGCAGCCGUCGGCUCAGGCAGUGCAAACACAGCCUGCGCUGUACAGGCUUCUCGCUUUGCCAAGCCUUCUUGUUUUGUAGCUUCGAUCUGGGCAAGGGGAGGAAGAGGGAGUCUCCUUCCACCCAUCCCUCUUGCCCGCGCUAAGGAAGCGGGGUGCGUGGGCGAAGUUCUUGGCUUUUCGUCCUGCCGCAUGCAAAACUGGCCUCACUAGCAGCAGCCAUGCCCCUGCUGUCCUCCUGAUCGCCAGAUCGUAUUGAGUGAGAGAGCAGCAGUUCAAGCCAAGGAUAGGUGGCAAACAAAAGGCAGCAAAAGGCCCAGCUCUGGACAGGUAGUUCUCUGCUUCCUUUCUGUCGAUGGAGUGGCUUCUGCGUGUUUAAUAGCGAGAAGGAUUUUAAAUCUUUCACCUCUCAUCUUCCUUCAGACGCAAGGACAGGUCAAGUAGUCGCAGACGCUCUUGAAAGGACAUGGAAAAAAUGAAGAGCAUUCUGCUUGUGGUAUUCAUUGCUGUAACUGUGUUGUGUAAUUCUGGCUAUGCACUUCGUUGUUACAAUUGUGAACAGAGCCCUUACCUGUGUCGGACCAAUACUACCUGUAUUGAAGAAGAGGAUGCUUGCCUGCAAAUUAGGUUUGUGCAUUUGAGGACCUACAGCUGCUGGAAAAUGUCACAGUGCACCACAAGUCAAGUUGCUGAUCACUUUAAUGCUGACAGUUUUAGAUUCCUUUGCUGUGAAAGGGAUUUUUGCAACAGGGGUGUAAACAUCCUGCUUGGUACAGCUCCCCUUGUUCUUUCAGCGUUGACUGUGAUAUGGAUGAUGUUUCUAUAUUAAGGUUAUUUAAAAAGAAUUUACAGCGCAUUUUUUCCAUUUUUUAAUUUGAUAUGCCUGGAGCUCUUUCAAGAAGAGAGAUGGUGGAUGAUGCCCAUUUAGGCCAUUAAUGUUCCCUUGCUUGGAAGGACUUUCUUAAUCUCUUUCCUCUUCAAUACUCUAGAUGCAGGGAUAAAGAGAGUUGGGAUAGCUGGGGGUCCUUUGGGUCCGAUUGAGAGAUACUGGGCUACAGUGGGAGAGAGGAAGAGAAAGUCUUGUCACACCAACUCAUGUCACAUUAGAGAUUGCUGUUAUAUGUUAUUGCGCACCAGUGUAGUGUAAAUGGCUCUCAUGCCAGACUAAGACCUAUGCCUCUGGCAUUUGAAUCUUUACUCAGCCUUGGAAACUCAUGAGGAGCCCUUGAGGAAUUGCUGCCUCUCUGCUUAACUUACCUCACAGGGUUGCCAUGAGAUUUGAAUGUAGUGCUGUAAAUAAACAGAAAAAUAACUUCA